Molecule: ribosomal RNA, 279 nt
Filed under: uncultured bacterium
Lineage: Bacteria
Description: partial 16S ribosomal RNA
Rfam family: Bacterial small subunit ribosomal RNA
Source: RNAcentral
UGCCAGCAGCCGCGGUAAUACGUGGGGUGCAAACGUUGCUCGGAAUCAUUGGGCGUAAAGCGCACGUAGGCGGCUUUGUAAGUCGGAUGUGAAAGCCCACGGCUCAACCGUGGAAGUGCAUCCGAAACUACAAGGCUAGAAUCUGAUAGGGGGUCGCGGAAUUCCCGGUGUAGAGGUGAAAUUCGUAGAUAUCGGGAGGAACACCAGUGGCGAAGGCGGCGACCUGGGUCAUGAUUGACGCUGAGGUGCGAAAGCGUGGGGAGCAAACAGGAUUAGAUA